GUGAACGCUGGCGGUAGGCCUAACCCAUGCAAGUCGAACGGCAGCACAGUAAGAGCUUGCUCUUACGGGUGGCGAGUGGCGGACGGGUGAGGAAUACAUCGGAAUCUACUUUUUCGUGGGGGAUAACGUAGGGAAACUUACGCUAAUACCGCAUACGACCUACGGGUGAAAGCAGGGGAUCUUCGGACCUUGCGCGACUGAAUGAGCCGAUGUCGGAUUAGCUAGUUGGCGGGGUAAAGGCCCACCAAGGCGACGAUCCGUAGCUGGUCUGAGAGGAUGAUCAGCCACACUGGAACUGAGACACGGCCCAGACUCCUACGGGAGGCAGCAGUGGGGAAUAUUGGACAAUGGGCGCAAGCCUGAUCCAGCCAUACCGCGUGGGUGAAGAAGGCCUUCGGGUUGUAAAGCCCUUUUGUUGGGAAAGAAAAGCAGCAGGUUAAUACCCCGCUGUUCUGACGGUACCCAAAGAAUAAGCACCGGCUAACUUCGUG
Molecule: ribosomal RNA, 491 nt
Filed under: uncultured bacterium
Lineage: Bacteria
Description: partial 16S ribosomal RNA
Rfam family: Bacterial small subunit ribosomal RNA
Source: RNAcentral